Molecule: ribosomal RNA, 972 nt
Filed under: Streptomyces sp. PKU-EA00015
Lineage: Bacteria; Bacillati; Actinomycetota; Actinomycetes; Kitasatosporales; Streptomycetaceae
Description: partial 23S ribosomal RNA
Rfam family: Archaeal large subunit ribosomal RNA
Source: RNAcentral
UGUGCGGGGUAAGCCUGUGCACCAUGAGGGAGACAACCCAGAGCUGGGUUAAGGUCCCCAAGUGUGGAUUAAGUGCGAUUUGAAGGUGGUCUCGAGCCCUAGACAGCCGGGAGGUGAGCUUAGAAGCAGCUACCCUCCAAGAAAAGCGUAACAGCUUACCGGCCGAGGUUCGAGGCGCCCAAAAUGAUCGGGGCUCAAAUCCACCACCGAGACCUAGCGACACGUGUUAGAACGUGAUUCCGUAGAUUGGCGCUCCGAUUGGGUGGAAGUAUGGGAUAGAUUUCAUAUGGACCGAUCGGUGACGAAAAUCCUGGCCAUAGUAGCAGCGAUAGUCGGGUGACAAUCCCGACGGCCGAACAGACAAGGGUUCCUCAGCAAUGUUCGUCAACUGAGGGUUAGCCGGCCCUAAGUCUCACCGUAACUCGAAUGAGACAAAUGGGAAACUGGUUAAUAUUCCAGUGCUGUUGUGCAGUAAACGCCGACGCUUUGGGGUCGUCUGAGCCGGGCCUUCGCCCGGUCGAAUCGUCGAAAUCCGUGGAAGCCGUAAUGGCACGAAGCGGACGAAUGUCGAGACAGAGCAAUUCAGACCAACCUAGAGCCCGUGAAAAGGCAAGCACAACAUCCGUACCAAGAUCCGACACAGGUGUCUGUGGCUGAGAACGCCAAGGCCUGUCGGGGACAACCGACGUUAGGGAAUUCGGCAAUUUAGUCCCGUAAGUUCGCGAUAAGGGAUGCCUGCCCCGGAAUGGGGCAGGUCGCAGUGACCUAGACGCUCCGACUGUCUAGUAACAACAUAGGUGACCGCAAAUCCGCAAGGACUCGUACGGUCACUGAAUCCUGCCCAGUGCGGGUAUCUGAACACCUAGUACAAUAGGACGAAGGACCCGUCAACGGCGGGGGUAACUAUGACCCUCUUAAGGUAGCGUAGUACCUUGCCGCUUCAGUAGCGGCUUGCAUGAAUGGAUCAACGAG